This 484-nucleotide ribosomal RNA is filed under the name uncultured bacterium. Its description in RNAcentral is "partial 16S ribosomal RNA". It matches the Rfam family "Bacterial small subunit ribosomal RNA", at positions 30 to 507 of the family's 1533-position model. The record is from RNAcentral.
AUUGAACGCUGGCGGCAGGCCUAACACAUGCAAGUCGAGCGGAUGAAGGGAGCUUGCUCCUGGAUUCAGCGGCGGACGGGUGAGUAAUGCCUAGGAAUCUGCCUGGUAGUGGGGGAUAACGUCCGGAAACGGGCGCUAAUACCGCAUACGUCCUGAGGGAGAAAGUGGGGGAUCUUCGGACCUCACGCUAUCAGAUGAGCCUAGGUCGGAUUAGCUAGUUGGUGGGGUAAAGGCCUACCAAGGCGACGAUCCGUAACUGGUCUGAGAGGAUGAUCAGUCACACUGGAACUGCAACACGGUCCAGACUCCUACGAGAGGCAGCAGUGGGGAAUAUUGGACAAUGGGCGAAAGCCUGAUCCAGCCAUGCCGCGUGUGUGAAGAAGGUCUUCGGAUUGUAAAGCACUUUAAGUUGGGAGGAAGGGCAGUAAGUUAAUACCUUGCUGUUUUGACGUUACCAACAGAAUAAGCACCGGCUAACUUCGUG